Bubalus bubalis (water buffalo) is the source of this 2338-nucleotide long non-coding RNA. RefSeq lists it as uncharacterized. Lineage: Eukaryota; Metazoa; Chordata; Mammalia; Artiodactyla; Bovidae. The record is from RefSeq and is a predicted model, not a curated record. The transcript is spliced from 3 exons.
CCCAUUAAGUCUGAUUGACAGUUAAAGUUGUUCUGAGGCUUCGCCACGGUUCCUCUGAGUGGCUGCCGCGGGCUCCCCUCCCCCUGCGCAGUGGUGGGGUGCGCGCCCGGGCGCGCACACGGGCUCGCAGAGACUCCGCUCUCCCCGGGCCGGCUCCCCUAGCUGCAAGCAUGGGCUUGCCGGCUGUGUCCCUGAGGGCUCGCCGCAGUAACUCGCACACGCUGGAACCGACUCCAGCGAACCGGCUCCCUCCUCGAGACAUGCCUUCUGGCCUGGGGUUCGGUCUGCCUGAGCAGGGAAGGCUGCGGGCCAGGUGACCGCCAGUGUGCCUGCCGGGGAGACCCGGGGGAGCUUACGCUCGCCUUGAUCCAUCAGGUCGCCCAGGGUUUAUUUCAGGUCAUUUGAUCAUCCCCUGCCUCCAGAAUGUCUCCCCUGCUGGAGGGUGGGACCCAGCUAUUUAGAGUUGUCUGUUGCAGAAAGUCUGGGAGGUGAGUCACGAAAAAGCAGAGCCAGUGAAAAUCACUGAUCGGACUUGCCUCCUGCUGCUCCUGAUGGUCCCAGGCCUGGAGGAAGAGGAGGAUGAGCCAGGGAGCUUGCCCUGUAAUCUGGGCCAGCGGUUCUCCAGAGAGAGGCUUGUUCAGGCGAGGAGUGCAGGGCCUCACCCCCAGACCUUCUGAUUGAACAGGGCUGGGUGUGCUGGAAUCAGUGCCGUUUAAUGAUCUGCUGAGGAUCCGGGGAGAAUGUCACUUUGAGAAAAGCUGGUUUGGGGAGGGGGUGGCUGGGGGUUUAACUCCUCCCUGGGCUGCAAAGACCCUGUAGCUCUGGAGAAAACUUCUGCCCGCGUGGAUCUUCCUUCCAGGUGAAUUUGGGAAGUCAUUAUGUCACCCGCUGGAAGAGCAAAAAAGGGUAGGAAGAGUGUGGCUGGAUGACAGACUAUUCUACACUGAGGGCUUCAAAUCUGAAACUGAAUCCUCCCACUGACCUUGCAAGGGCGGGUAUCAUUAUCCCGCUCGGCCAGGUAGUGCAGGAGGGAGGGCUCCAGAUCCAGACAUGAUUCCUUUUCCUACCCCAUCCCACCCCACCCUAUUCUGGCAGGAAGAGAGGACCAGGCUCCCUCCUGCCUCCAUCCAACCCUCCAAAAACAGGAUCCCAAGGCAGGCCAUUGCCUUCCUAGACUCCCAGGCCACGGCUAAAGGCAGGACUUGGUCAACAUGACGGCCUCCUCCCACCUAGGAGGUCUGUAAAAAUGGGAAAGAAAUCCCAGCCCUGGAGAGGCUCUCCCCACCCAGCGGUGGCGGGUGUCUGCGGGGCCUGCCAAGACAACUGGGGAAAGUCUGGCGCUGAAACCCCUUCGCGCAGCCUGUUCUCAUCUGUUAUCCUCGACGCCGCCUAGUGGUGUGGAUGCGAUACUGCGUCUCCAAGCUGCCCAAGUCUCCAGCCUCCAGUGUUCCUUCUACCCUACCAGGUCGAUUCUUUACCACUAGCGCCACCUGGGAAGCCCGUAAAGGAACAUGUCAGGUAGCCCUGAAAGAUGAACUGUGGUUGGGAAUAGGACACCUUUUUUCUACUUGUUCCACCUUCAGGAUGUGAGUUUUACCAGCCUUGCAUCCUGUGGACUCAGGCCUCUUCCAUCAUCAGCUUCCCAGAGAGGUUCUGUCUGUCAUCUCCUCUAUGUCCCCCCACUUCCCAGGGAAGAUGGAGGCAAGGAGGGUACUGGGCUGGGGGAUGCACAGUCCAGUGGGCUGGUCCAGAGGGUCCCCGUGACCUGGCUUCAGUAGGAACUAAAUGGGACACAACCCCUCCCCCUCCUCUCCCACCUCCUCCUACCUGUGUUUUUGGCUCUUGGUACCCCCUCCUCCCUUACUUGGGAGCAGGGGGUGGGGAAUUUAACUCCAGGGUGAAGUUUGAAAUUUCACAUCCCAGCCUGGGAGAGGGCCCCACAGUUUUCUCUCCACUCCUGGAAAUGUGAAAGGAGCCUUUGUAGGCUUGAUGGAGGAGGGAGGUAAGCUGCAGCCCAAAGAACUAACUUUUUCCAUGACUCAGCUCUCCCGGUGUGGGGCGGGCACGGGAGGUGCAAGGACCCAGCAGGGCAGGCUGGAGCCGCCUUCCAACCCAGAGCCAGCAGCUCACGGGUAGAGGUGGGCCCCCCCAGAGAGCCAGCCCUGUUUACCUGCAGGGGAACUUGCUGGCCCUGGAUGGGCCACCACACUGUACCCGCCCCAUGCUCCCAGGGCUCUGUCCCAUUUUUUCCCCCAGAGAGAGGGGGAAAAAACUAUGCUUUUUUUUUUUUUAAAGCAUAAUUGAUUUACAAUGUUUCAGGUGUACAGCUAAGUAUUCU